CCAGGUUCAGCAUGUUCCACAUAAUCACGAGGGACUGAGGAGCUCCAUCCUCAGCCUGCUCGUCUACACCUACGGCCAAUCCCACAAUGCAGCUGCCAUCCACCCCAUCUCGCCUGCACCCUCAACACCAGCAUAGCCAACCACAUCAACAAAGUGGACAAGUUUGACUCGGUGAAGGCCAUCCAGGUGAGGAGUCGGCAGUGACAGUGGCGGCCAGGUGUGCACAGAAGGCAGGUGGAUGUUGGGACUUUCAGCGUAUCUCUGUGGAGGUGGCGCUGGUGGCGGAGUUGAGGACAGAGCUUCCUUCUUUCUGAAAUAAAAACAUUUAUGUGGAAGAGAAAAUGCAGAACAUAUAAGGCAGAGCUUAGAUGGCCACGGGGUGAGAGGAAUAUACUUUUUCUGCACCAUUACCUGUGGGCCAGGGGCUGCCAGCACCAACCUAAACGUCCAAUCAAAUUGCUGCUUCUGGAAGAAUCAGCACCCUGGAAGCCAUCCCUGGGAAGUGAUAAUCCAUUCAUAGAUCCACGGGCAAUGUCUACAGCACAACGAGGUGGAAAAUGUUUCGUAAUUGCUGAGCGAGAGAAAGAUGAUCGGUGCACUGAGAGAACGAAAGCUCCCUCGGGUGGGAGACUGCGUCUUCUUGUUAUAGAUGGGCCCUCUGUUGUCUGCAUCAGCAAGUGUCAAAUUGCAAAGCCUGCAGAUCGGGAUAUUGAGACCCUCGGUUAG
This 726-nucleotide long non-coding RNA is filed under the name Aotus nancymaae (Ma's night monkey). Its description in RNAcentral is "lncRNA (ENSANAG00000039447.1)". Lineage: Eukaryota; Metazoa; Chordata; Mammalia; Primates; Aotidae. The record is from RNAcentral.